Molecule: ribosomal RNA, 503 nt
Filed under: uncultured bacterium
Lineage: Bacteria
Description: partial 16S ribosomal RNA
Rfam family: Bacterial small subunit ribosomal RNA
Source: RNAcentral
AUUGAACGCUGGCGGCAGGCUUAGCACAUGCAAGUCGAGCGGGGUGAUGGUGCUUGCACUAUCACUUAGCGGCGGACGGGUGAGUAAUGCUUAGGAAUCUGCCUAUUAGUGGGGGACAACAUCUCGAAAGGGAUGCUAAUACCGCAUACGUCCUACGGGAGAAAGCAGGGGAUCACUUGUGACCUUGCGCUAAUAGAUGAGCCUAAGUCGGAUUGGCUAGUUGGUGGAGUAAAGGCCUGCCAAGGCGACGAUCUGUAGCGGGUCUGAGAGGAUGAUCCGCCACACCGGGACUGAGACACGGCCCAGACUCCUACGGGAGGCAGCAGUGGGGAAUAUUGGACAAUGGGGGGAACCCUGAUCCAGCCAUGCCGCGUGUGUGAAGAAGGCCUUAUGGUUGUAAAGCACUUUAAGCGAGGAGGAGGCUCUUUUGGUUAAUACCCAAGAUGAGUGGACGUUACUCGCAGAAUAAGCACCGGCUAACUCUGUGCCAGCCGCCGCGGUAA